GACGAAAGAGGGGGGAACGCCUAACACAUGCAAGUCGAACGGACUUAAAAGAGCUUGCUUUUUUAAGUUAGUGGCGGACGGGUGAGUAACACGUGAGCAACCUGCCUCUGAGAGGGGGAUAGCUUCUGGAAACGGAUGGUAAUACCCCAUAAAAUAUAAAUAUCGCAUGAUAGAUAUAUCAAAGAAAUUCGCUCAGAGAUGGGCUCGCGUCUGAUUAGAUAGUUGGUGAGGUAACGGCUCACCAAGUCGACGAUCAGUAGCCGGACUGAGAGGUUGAACGGCCACAUUGGGACUGAGACACGGCCCAGACUCCUACGGGAGGCAGCAGUGGGGAAUAUUGCACAAUGGAGGGAACUCUGAUGCAGCGAUGCCGCGUGGAGGAAGAAGGUUUUCGGAUUGUAAACUCCUUUUAUCAGGGACGAUAAUGACGGUACCUGAAGAAAAAGCUCCGGCUAACUACGUG
RNAcentral lists this ribosomal RNA (463 nucleotides) under uncultured bacterium. RNAcentral describes it as "partial 16S ribosomal RNA". It matches the Rfam family "Bacterial small subunit ribosomal RNA", at positions 28 to 507 of the family's 1533-position model. The record is from RNAcentral.